AUCCAUCUGACAAGUCCUAAAUAGGACGAAACGCGCGUCCUCGAU
Molecule: non-coding RNA, 45 nt
Filed under: Schistosoma margrebowiei
Lineage: Eukaryota; Metazoa; Platyhelminthes; Trematoda; Strigeidida; Schistosomatidae
Source: RNAcentral